RNAcentral lists this small nuclear RNA (71 nucleotides) under Tursiops truncatus (common bottlenose dolphin). Lineage: Eukaryota; Metazoa; Chordata; Mammalia; Artiodactyla; Delphinidae. The record is from RNAcentral.
GUGCUCACCUUGGGCAGCACAGACACUAAAACUGUAACGAUACAGAGAUUAGCAUGGCCCCUGCACAAUGA